GGAGUUGUGGCUCAGUGGUAGAGCACAUGCCUGGCAUAUGUGAGGCCCUGGGUUCGAUUCUCAGCAUUGCAA
This 72-nucleotide transfer RNA is filed under the name Ictidomys tridecemlineatus (thirteen-lined ground squirrel). RNAcentral's name for it is "Spermophilus tridecemlineatus (thirteen-lined ground squirrel) tRNA". It matches the Rfam family "tRNA". Rfam says of the family: Transfer RNA (tRNA) molecules are approximately 80 nucleotides in length. Their secondary structure includes four short double-helical elements and three loops (D, anti-codon, and T loops). Further hydrogen bonds mediate the characteristic L-shaped molecular structure. tRNAs have two regions of fundamental functional importance: the anti-codon, which is responsible for specific mRNA codon recognition, and the 3' end, to which the tRNAs corresponding amino acid is attached (by aminoacyl-tRNA synthetases). tRNAs cope with the degeneracy of the genetic code in two manners: having more than one tRNA (with a specific anti-codon) for a particular amino acid; and 'wobble' base-pairing, i.e. permitting non-standard base-pairing at the 3rd anti-codon position. Lineage: Eukaryota; Metazoa; Chordata; Mammalia; Rodentia; Sciuridae. The record is from Rfam by way of RNAcentral.